This is a long non-coding RNA of Xenopus laevis (African clawed frog), 932 nucleotides long. RefSeq lists it as uncharacterized. The record is from RefSeq and is a predicted model, not a curated record. NCBI's taxonomy places the organism in Eukaryota, Metazoa, Chordata, Amphibia, Anura, Pipidae. The transcript is spliced from 3 exons.
GGGUGCCGUUUGUCCCAUGUACAUUAUGUUGACAAAAAGUACAUUCUGUCUGCAAAAAUAACUUCAAUAUAGUUGAGGCACAAAAUACAUUUUACCAGGAUACAUAUAUAACUGUGGUCAGAUAUUUUGGUAGAAAAUAUACAAAAGCAGUAUGUUUAGUCAAAAAUGAGAACAAAAUCUGAUUUCUGUACAAAUAGGAUAUCAAAGUAUUGUAAACAAGCAUUUUGUCUUUCACACUGUAUUUUGUUUCUCAAAUGUAUAAAAUCCAUGUAACAAAACUAGUGAUGUGUAAAGGUAACUACAAGAUGAAUUAUGUAAAAAAAACUAGAACAAAAUAUAUAAUGUUGUAAGCGGCUAUCAUAUGUGAAUCCACACAAUUGAUAUCUCACUAUAAUUUACCAGUUUGAAGUGACAAAAUAGAUGCUUAUUACAGAAAGGAAUAUAACCUAUCACAGAAUCCAUAAUAUCAACAAAUUAACACAAGUUCAACAAAACCAAUAUCAACACAAUAGUUAAGUUAGACAAAACAGAUAAAACAGACAAAACAGAUAUUUUCAGAUUAUCUAUUCUGUGAAACAUUUCUGUCAGUCAAAUUAGUGAACCAAUGAGAUGCAAGCAUACUUCUUAACCAAUAACAAGCACUCUUUAACUGAAGUCCAUUUAUCUAUUAAUUCACCUUUCAAAUAGCAACAGUUAUUUGGCCAAUAAUAUUAGGUUUCACUUUUUUUUCUGAUCCUGCAGCUUCUUGCCAUGUUUCCACUCCCCUGAGGUUGCCAUUUUCUAGCACAUGCUCUCCAGAAUGGAUCCUAGGGGUAUUAAUGUGAAGCUAUUAGCUGACAGCAUUUUGAACCUUUCAAAAAUAGUUGAGAAUUGGUCCUCUACAAGCUCCAACACUGGGCCUCUAGGGUCACAUCAUUUAACAAAACAAGACA